This 307-nucleotide ribosomal RNA is filed under the name uncultured eukaryote. RNAcentral describes it as "partial 18S ribosomal RNA". It matches the Rfam family "Eukaryotic small subunit ribosomal RNA", at positions 1470 to 1796 of the family's 1831-position model. The record is from RNAcentral.
CCCUUAGACGUUCUGGGCCGCACGCGCGCUACACUGACGAAGGCAACGAGCUUUCCUUUACCGAAAGGUACGGGUAAUCUUUUGAAACUUCGUCGUGCUGGGGAUAGAUCCUUGCAAUUUUUGAUCUUAAACGAGGAAUGCCUAGUAAGCGCAAGUCAUCAACUUGCGUUGAUUACGUCCCUGCCCUUUGUACACACCGCCCGUCGCUACUACCGAUUGAAUGGUUUAGUGAGGCCUUCGGAUCCGCGACUCGUUUGUGGAGAAGUUGGACAAACUCAGUCAUUUAGAAGAAGUAAAAGUCGUAACA